Molecule: ribosomal RNA, 508 nt
Filed under: uncultured bacterium
Lineage: Bacteria
Description: partial 16S ribosomal RNA
Rfam family: Bacterial small subunit ribosomal RNA
Source: RNAcentral
GAUGAACGCUAGCUACAGGCUUAACACAUGCAAGUCGAGGGGAAACGAUAGAGAAAGCUUGCUUUUUCUAGGCGCCGACCGGCGCACGGGUGAGUAACGCGUAUCCAACCUGCCCAUCACUUGGGGACAACCUUGCGAAAGUAAGACUAAUACCCAAUGACGUCCAUAGAAGACAUCUGAAAGGGAUUAAAGAUUUAUCGGUGAUGGAUGGGGAUGCGUCUGAUUAGCUUGUUGGCGGGGUAACGGCCCACCAAGGCGACGAUCAGUAGGGGUUCGGGGAGUAAGGUCCCCCACAUUGGAACUGAGACACGGUCCAAACUCCUACGGGAGGCAGCAGUGAGGAAUAUUGGUCAAUGGUCGAGAGCCUGAACCAGCCAAGUAGCGUGGAGGAUGACGGCCCUAUGGGUUGUAAACUGCUUUUAUAAGGGAAUAAAGUGAGCCUCGUGAGGCUUUUUGCAUGUACCUUAUGAAUAAGGACCGGCUAAUUCCGUGCCAGCAGCCGCAGUAA